This 403-nucleotide ribosomal RNA is filed under the name Bacteroidota bacterium. RNAcentral describes it as "Bacteroidetes bacterium partial 16S ribosomal RNA". It matches the Rfam family "Bacterial small subunit ribosomal RNA", at positions 355 to 776 of the family's 1533-position model. The record is from RNAcentral. Lineage: Bacteria; Pseudomonadati; Bacteroidota.
UGGGGAAUAUUGCACAAUGGGGGAAACCCUGAUGCAGCGACGCCGCGUGAACGAAGAAGGUAUUCGUAUCGUAAAGUUCUGUCCUAUGGGAAGAUAAUGACAGUACCAUAGAAGAAAGCUCCGGCUAAAUACGUGCCAGCAGCCGCGGUAAUACGUAUGGAGCGAGCGUUGUCCGGAAUUAUUGGGCGUAAAGGGUACGCAGGCGGUUUAAUAAGUCGAAUGUUAAAGAUCGGGGCUCAACCCCGUAAAGCAUUGGAAACUGAUAAACUUGAGUAGUGGAGAGGAAAGUGGAAUUCCUAGUGUAGUGGUGAAAUACGUAGAUAUUAGGAGGAAUACCAGUAGCGAAGGCGACUCUCUGGUCUGUAACUGACGCUGAGGCUCGAAAGCGUGGGUAGCAAACAGG